This 254-nucleotide ribosomal RNA is filed under the name uncultured bacterium. RNAcentral describes it as "partial 16S ribosomal RNA". It matches the Rfam family "Bacterial small subunit ribosomal RNA", at positions 524 to 776 of the family's 1533-position model. The record is from RNAcentral.
GACAGAGGUGGCAAGCGUUGUUCGGAUUUAUUGGGUGUAAAGGGUCCGUAGGUGGUUGGGUAAGUCUGACGUGAAAUCCCAUGGCUCAACCGUGGAACUGCGUUGGAAACUGCCCGACUUGAGUACCGCAGAGGUAAAGGGAAUUCUCGGUGUAAGGGUGAAAUCUGUAGAUAUCGAGAGGAACACCAGUGGCGAAAGCGCUUUACUGGGCGGUUACUGACACUGAGGGACGAAAGCAAGGGGGAGCAAGCAGG